ACCCAAAGCUCUUUGUCAGGAUGUUUCUUUUAACUCUUUUUUUUAACGAGUGGUAACAACGGAUAUGUCUGUUAAAGCAUUGGGAAAGUAAUAUUAUUCUCGUUACUCCAGUUUUCGUUUUGAAAACACAAUGAGCAAUGUUUUUGAAGAAAUGCUUUGUUUUAAAGCUGUUUCUUUGAUUAUUUGAAUAAUGAAGCUUUUUUGAGUUGAGUAACGGUUUGAAGGUCCAGUUGUUCUGAGACUUUCAUCAAUUCGUACUCGUAGUAAAAAGCUUCACAUCG
RNAcentral lists this small nucleolar RNA (281 nucleotides) under Huiozyma naganishii CBS 8797. Its description in RNAcentral is "Kazachstania naganishii CBS 8797 Small nucleolar RNA snR191". It matches the Rfam family "Small nucleolar RNA snR191". Lineage: Eukaryota; Fungi; Ascomycota; Saccharomycetes; Saccharomycetales; Saccharomycetaceae. The record is from Rfam by way of RNAcentral.